AUCAGGCCUGGAAAUUGAGACAAUUUAAGGGGACGACCGACAGAUUACAAAAACUGAUUUACUGUAACUUUAAGUUACAUGCUGAGUUUUCCAAUUUUGUCUCUUUCUUAUUACCAAGAGAAACCUCUUUAGUGGAUUUAAUAAUUGAUUCGUUUGAAUUACUGUUAUACUGUGCAUUAAGUUAAUCAAACUGUAUUUGAAGAACAUUUGAGCUUUUGUUUAAGUGUCUAUGUGAAGUAGGUUGAAUGCUGCUGACAUUACUAUGAUCGAGAAUAUCUGUUAAGGUAAGAUCUGAACAGAUAACUAAUACAUCUUUUGAAAGUAGCAUUGAAUGUUGUAAUUAUCUGUACACACUGUUCUUAUUUAAAUUAUUUUCUAGUCUUCUGCUCCUGCCACUUUUCAAGCAUUGCAUUCAGAUUCCCAAGUGAUUGCUGUCUUGAAGGGGUUUGACUGGCCUUUGUAACAGCCAGAAAAAGUGAUUUUCCUCUAAUUUUGGGGAGGGAUUUCUGCUUUAGUCAACGGAGACAGCAAGGAGAAAGCGGAAAUGCACACAGCAAAGAACCUGCAAGGACCCAGCUCCAGCAGAAAGGUUCUUGUUUUAAGGCAGAAAGGAUAACAACACCUGUUCACAGUUCCAGUUG
Molecule: long non-coding RNA, 641 nt
Organism: Melanotaenia boesemani (Boeseman's rainbowfish)
Lineage: Eukaryota; Metazoa; Chordata; Actinopteri; Atheriniformes; Melanotaeniidae
Exons: 3
Source: RefSeq, a predicted model, not a curated record